RNAcentral lists this transfer RNA (73 nucleotides) under Trachelomonas volvocina. Its description in RNAcentral is "tRNA-Val". It matches the Rfam family "tRNA". From Rfam's summary of the family: Transfer RNA (tRNA) molecules are approximately 80 nucleotides in length. Their secondary structure includes four short double-helical elements and three loops (D, anti-codon, and T loops). The record is from RNAcentral. Lineage: Eukaryota; Euglenozoa; Euglenophyceae; Euglenales; Euglenaceae.
GGGGAUAUAACUCAGUUGGUAGAGUAUCUGCCUUACAAGCAGGCUGUCGGCGGUUCGAGUCCGUCUGUCCUCA